AGGGUUCGAGUUCUGGCUCAGGAUGAACGCUAGCUACAGGCUUAACACAUGCAAGUCGAGGGGUAGCAGGGUAGCAAUACCGCUGACGACCGGCGCACGGGUGAGUAACACGUAUCCAACCUUCCCAUAACUCAGGGAUAGCCUUUCGAAAGAAAGAUUAAUACCUGAUAGUACUUUUUCAAGGCAUCUUGAGAAAGUUAAAGAUUUAUUGGUUAUGGAUGGGGAUGCGUUCCAUUAGAUAGUUGGUGAGGUAACGGCUCACCAAGUCUUCGAUGGAUAGGGGUUCUGAGAGGAAGGUCCCCCACAUUGGUACUGAGACACGGACCAAACUCCUACGGGAGGCAGCAGUGAGGAAUAUUGGUCAAUGGGCGAGAGCCUGAACCAGCCAAGUAGCGUGAAGGAAUGAAGGUCCUAUGGAUUGUAAACUUCUUUUAUAGUAGAAUAAAGUGAUCCACGUGUGGAUUUUUGUAUGUAUACUAUGAAUAAGGAUCGGCUAACUCCGUGCCAGCCGCGGC
Molecule: ribosomal RNA, 515 nt
Filed under: uncultured bacterium
Lineage: Bacteria
Description: bacterial SSU rRNA
Rfam family: Bacterial small subunit ribosomal RNA
Source: RNAcentral